RNAcentral lists this microRNA precursor (113 nucleotides) under Pelobates cultripes (western spadefoot toad). Lineage: Eukaryota; Metazoa; Chordata; Amphibia; Anura; Pelobatidae. The record is from RNAcentral.
GGGUGACAGUGAGGGAGGGAGUGACUAGUGACAGAGAGAGGGAUGGGGUGACUAGUAACAGUCACCCCCUCUCUCACUCUGUCACUAGUCACACCCUCGCUCACUCUGUCAUU